Molecule: ribosomal RNA, 253 nt
Filed under: uncultured bacterium
Lineage: Bacteria
Description: partial 16S ribosomal RNA
Rfam family: Bacterial small subunit ribosomal RNA
Source: RNAcentral
UACGGAGGGUGCAAGCGUUAUCCGGAUUCACUGGGUUUAAAGGGUGCGUAGGCGGGCAGGUAAGUCCGUGGUGAAAUCUCCGAGCUUAACUUGGAAACUGCCAUGGAUACUAUAGAUCUUGAAUACUGUGGAGGCUAGCGGAAUAUGUCAUGUAGCGGUGAAAUGCUUAGAUAUGACAUAGAACACCAAUUGCGAAGGCAGCUGGCUACACAAAUAUUGACACUGAGGCACGAAAGCGUGGGGAUCAAACAGG